GUGCUCGUUUCAGCAGCACAUAUACUAAAAUUGGAGCAAUCCAGAGAAGAUUAGUGUGGUCCCUGCAUGAGAAUGAUAUGCAAAUUCCUGAGUGUUCCAUAUUUUCU
Small nuclear RNA from Hyaena hyaena (striped hyena), 107 nucleotides. The record is from RefSeq and is a predicted model, not a curated record. NCBI's taxonomy places the organism in Eukaryota, Metazoa, Chordata, Mammalia, Carnivora, Hyaenidae.